UGGGGAAUUUUGCACAAUGGGGGAAACCCUGAUGCAGCGACGCCGCGUGAUUUAGAAGGCCUUCGGGUUGUAAAAAUCUUUUCUAUGGGAAGAAAAUGACAGUACCAUAGGAAUAAGGACCGGCUAAUUACGUGCCAGCAGCCGCGGUAAUACGUAAGGUCCGAGCGUUUUCCGGAAUCAUUGGGCGUAAAGGGUACGUAGGCGGGUAAGCAAGUUAGAAGUGAAAUCCUAUAGCUCAACUAUAGUAAGCUUUUAAAACUGCUCAUCUCGAGGUAUGGAAGGGAAAGUGGAAUUCUUAGUGUAGCGGUGAAAUGCGCAGAUAUUAGGAGGAAUACCGGUAGCGAAGGCGACUUUCUGGCCAUAACCUGACGCUGAGGUACGAAAGCGUGGGUAGCAAACAGG
RNAcentral lists this ribosomal RNA (402 nucleotides) under bacterium. RNAcentral's name for it is "partial 16S ribosomal RNA". It matches the Rfam family "Bacterial small subunit ribosomal RNA", at positions 355 to 776 of the family's 1533-position model. The record is from RNAcentral.